Molecule: unclassified non-coding RNA, 249 nt
Filed under: uncultured fungus
Lineage: Eukaryota; Fungi
Description: partial contains 5.8S ribosomal RNA, internal transcribed spacer 2, and large subunit ribosomal RNA
Source: RNAcentral
AACGCACAUUGCGCCCCCUGGCAUUCCGGGGGGCAUGCCUGUCCGAGCGUCAUUUCUGCCCUCAAGCACGGCUUGUGUGUUGGGUGUGGUCCCCCCGGGGACCUGCCCGAAAGGCAGCGGCGACGUCCGUCUGGUCCUCGAGCGUAUGGGGCUUUGUCACUCGCUCGGGAAGGACCUGCGGGGGUUGGUCACCACCAUAUUUUACCACGGUUGACCUCGGAUCAGGUAGGAGUUACCCGCUGAACUUAA